GCCAGGCCCAAGGCUCGUGUAUGGGGAACCAAACCAGCUGCCCGACCGAGACGCGUCCUACCCUUUCGUCUCAGCUCCAUCCGCACAAAGCUCGGCCAUCGGCUCGUCAAUCGGCACGCUGAGGAGCGAGCCAUCGUCAAGCGCCUCAAAUCUCGCCCGUUUCACAUUGACCAUUUGGAAAGUUUCGAAUUCCCGUCGGCUGCUUGAUUCAUUCCCUGUUCAGAGUCGCCGAUGGAGAUCCCCUUUCGCAUCUCGGCUCCAAACUCAUUGAUGGAUCCACACCACCAAUUUUUGGCCUGUUCCCAUGUCUGAUCCAUCGAGGUCAGUUCGUUCUGCUCCGUCCUCAGGACUCAUCGCUGUGGACGGUAGACUACAUCGGGAGUGCCUUGCUUGUCGCAGAAGACGAUUGCUAGACGCUGUGCAUGCAUGUCUUGAUUGGCCCCUUCAACAACAACGAUCUUCCGUCGGUGACCAAGAUCUGCGUACGACGAGCACCUUCAGCAAUGCCUCCUAGUUGCUGGGCGUGAUUUUCUAUUGCCCGUCACUCGGCUAACAAGAUGCAGGCGACGAGACUUCACAUAGCAGCUGGUUACUUUACAAAGCAGUAAACAGACAAGACCUAUUGAUUGAUCUCAAUCUGAUCACUAGUCAGGCACUGGGAUGCACAUGUUGGAGUAGUGCCAAAUAGAGAAUGUGCAAGAAAAGCAACUAAACUUAGAUCCUGUAAUGUUCAGUUACCUUUGAGAUGACAUGUAGUUUCACAAUAUGUAAGGACGACGUGUCUUGUACUGUACCACGUGUUUUGUAUUGUUUAUUUAAAUUAAGUUGGAUUAGUAUAAUAUAAUUUGUUGUAAAUGUUUCUAA
Sorghum bicolor (sorghum) is the source of this 864-nucleotide long non-coding RNA. RefSeq lists it as uncharacterized. The transcript is spliced from 4 exons. The record is from RefSeq and is a predicted model, not a curated record. Lineage: Eukaryota; Viridiplantae; Streptophyta; Magnoliopsida; Poales; Poaceae.